UCCGACUUAACGUCGGCAGUCCCUUUAGAGUGCCCAACUAAAUGCUGGCAACUAAAGGCAAGGGUUGCGCUCGUUGCGGGACUUAACCCAACAUCUCACGACACGAGCUGACGACAGCCAUGCAGCACCUAUGCAGCAGCCCGAAGGCGACGACAUCUCUGCCGUCUUCCACUGCAUUUCGAGCCCAGGUAAGGUUUUUCGCGUUGCAUCGAAUUAAACCACAUGCUCCACCGCUUGUGCGGGCCCCCGUCAAUUUCUUUGAGUUUUAACCUUGCGGCCGUACUCCCCAGGCGGGACACUUAACGCGUUAGCUUCGGCACUGAAGGGGUCAAUACCUCCAACACCAAGUGUCCAUCGUUUACGGCGUGGACUAC
Molecule: unclassified non-coding RNA, 374 nt
Filed under: uncultured Pseudobdellovibrionaceae bacterium
Lineage: Bacteria; Pseudomonadati; Bdellovibrionota; Bdellovibrionia; Bdellovibrionales; Pseudobdellovibrionaceae
Description: uncultured Bdellovibrionaceae bacterium contains 16S-23S intergenic spacer region
Source: RNAcentral